Molecule: ribosomal RNA, 457 nt
Filed under: uncultured bacterium
Lineage: Bacteria
Description: SSU rRNA
Rfam family: Bacterial small subunit ribosomal RNA
Source: RNAcentral
AGAAUCAACGCUGGCGGCGUGCCUAACACAUGCAAGUCGCACGAGAAAGGGUAGCAAUACCUGAGUACAGUGGCGCACGGGUGAGUAACACGUGAAUAAUCUACCUCCGAGUGGGGAAUAACUGAGAGAAAUCUUAGCUAAUACCGCAUAAUACCCACGGGUCAAAGCAGCAAUGCGCUUGGAGAGGAGUUCGCGGCAGAUUAGUUAGUUGGCGGGGUAAUGGCCCACCAAGACGAUGAUCUGUAUCCGGCCUGAGAGGGCGCACGGACACACUGGAACUGAAACACGGUCCAGACUCCUACGGGAGGCAGCAGUGGGGAAUUUUGCGCAAUGGGGGAAACCCUGACGCAGCAACGCCGCGUGGAGGAUGAAGCCCCUUGGGUGUAAACUCCUUCGAUCGGGAAGAUAAUGACGGUACCGAUAUAAGAAGCCCGGCUAACUUCGCGCCAGCAGCCGC